UGAACGAAGCAGUGGGCAGCAGGGCGGGGCUUCCUCUUAGCUGGGAACAGGGGAAAUCGGUUUGUCACCUGCGGGAGUGAGCCAGGGACCGUCUGUGAACAUGUGACGUGUUUGGGAACACACAAAGCUCCAGCUGAAGUCACCUGGGUGUAAUUUGAGCAGGCGGUUCUAGAAGGUGAUUUUAAUUUAGUAAUUGGACCCCAAUUAUAUCAUCUUUUCUGCGGAGAAGCAGUUGAGUGCAGAGAAGAUGGCUUGGUCUGAGAAAACAGGAGCUGGGCUUGGGGACAGGAUACAGGGGCACCUGUGCCCGCCACCGAGGGGUGUCCUGGGCCAUGAUUCUUCGCCCACAGCCCCACCUAUAGCACGUAUAUGAAAUUUUGCUUAAGCUCCUCCAUAUUUCCAUUUGUUUUUAUUCUCUGCUCACUAAGUGGCAUUUUCUUUGUGAGCUACUCUGCUGAUGAGAAGGUGGUACCCUGGAUGGGGAACUAAUCACUGUAGAUCCGGAAAGAGAAUCUCACAAAGUAGGCGGAGGAAGGGGCAGGCUGAUUGGAUCCAUGACCUUCAACCUUGGUUAGUCUGAGAGAGGCUUCCCAGGACUGGUGGCGACGGCAGAACACGGACAAGACCACAAAAGGCGCCCCCCAGCUCGAGGGAAUCAGAGCAGACUUGAUGCAGAUGUGAGGACGUUGGCUUCCCUGCGGAGGCCCCUCAAAACUGUAUACGGCCUUCCUGUCCCGCAGAAGCAGCUGAUAACACAGAGUGUGAAAAUGGCGCAAUGGGUGUCCACCGAAUUUGUAAGACUGAGAGCGCAGAGCUCCACUCACUUGGGGUCACUCUGGGGCCGCCUGGGGGGCCAGGUGCUCGUCCUCCCGAGCAGCUGACAUGCAGGUCCAACCAAGAAGCGAACCUAGACUCACCUUUUCUGUCCUGCCAGCCUGACACUCGCUUCGGCCGUCCCGGUGCUUAGAAU
This is a long non-coding RNA of Manis pentadactyla (Chinese pangolin), 970 nucleotides long. RefSeq lists it as uncharacterized. Lineage: Eukaryota; Metazoa; Chordata; Mammalia; Pholidota; Manidae. The record is from RefSeq and is a predicted model, not a curated record. The transcript is spliced from 3 exons.